CUUCUAGUAUUAUUUGAAGUCGUGCCUGCCCACUGAAUAUGGAAAAUAAAGGGCCGCGGUAUUUUGACCGUGCAAAGGUAGCAUAAUCAUUAGUCUUUUAAUUGGAGGCUGGGAUGAAUGGUUUGACGAGAUAACAGCUGUCUUUCUAAUAAGUUUGGAAUUUUACCUUUAAGUCAAAAGGCUUAAAUUGUAAUUGGGGACGAGAAGACCCUAUAGAUCUUGAUUCUUUUUAUAUUAAUUUAUUGAUGGUUGUUGAUAUUUUUUGAUGUAAGUGAAUUUUGUUGGGGUGAUGUGAGAAUAAUUGAACUUCUUUUUGAAUUUACUUUGCUUUAAGGGUUUGGGAUCCUGUAUUAUGGAUUUAAGAUUAAGAUACCUUAGGGAUAACAGCGUUAUUUUAUUUGAGAGUUCUUAUCGACAAUAAAGAUUGCGACCUCGAUGUUGGAUUAGGAUUAUAUUUUGGUGUAGAUACUAAAGUUUGUUGGUCUGUUC
RNAcentral lists this ribosomal RNA (489 nucleotides) under Parendacustes makassari. RNAcentral's name for it is "partial 16S ribosomal RNA". It matches the Rfam family "Bacterial large subunit ribosomal RNA", at positions 1834 to 2582 of the family's 2925-position model. The record is from RNAcentral. Lineage: Eukaryota; Metazoa; Arthropoda; Insecta; Orthoptera; Phalangopsidae.